GUGUCGUGAGAUGUUGGGUCAAGUCCCGCAACGAGCGCAACCCCUGCCCCUAGUAGCCAGCACGUAAUGGUGGGCACUCUAGGGGGACUGCCGGGGACAACCCGGAGGAGGGCGGGGACGACGUCAAAUCAUCAUGCCCCUUAUGGCCAGGGCUACACACGUGCUACAAUGGCGUGCACAGAGGGAAGCAAAGCGGCGACGCCAAGCAAAGCCCGGAAAGCACGCCUCAGUUCGGAUUGCAGCCUGCAACUCGGCUGCAUGAAGCCGGAAUCGCUAGUAAUCGCGGAUCAGAACGCCGCGGUGAAUACGUUCCCGGGUCUUGUACACACCGCCCGUCACACCAUGGGAGUCGGGAAUGCCCGAAGUCGGUGCCCCAACCGCAAGGAGGGAGCCGCCGAAGGCAGGCCCGGCGACUGGGGUGAAGUCGUAACAAGGUAGCCGUAUCGGAAGGUGCGGUUGGAUCACCUC
RNAcentral lists this ribosomal RNA (468 nucleotides) under uncultured bacterium. RNAcentral's name for it is "bacterial SSU rRNA". It matches the Rfam family "Bacterial small subunit ribosomal RNA", at positions 1062 to 1529 of the family's 1533-position model. The record is from RNAcentral.